UACGGGAGGCAGCAGUGGGGAAUAUUGCACAAUGGGCGAAAGCCUGAUGCAGCCAUGCCGCGUGUAUGAAGAAGGCCUUAGGGUUGUAAAGUACUUUCAUCGGGGAGGAAAAAACAAAACUAAUAAUUUUAUUUCUUGACGUUACCCGAAAAAGAAGCACCGGCUAACUCCGUGCCAGCAGCCGCGGUAAUACGGAGGGUGCUAGCGUUAAUCAGAAUUACUGGGCGUAAAGAGCACGUAGGUGGUUUUUUUAAAGUCAGAUGUGAAAUCCCUGGGCUUAACCUAGGAACUGCAUUUUGAAACUGAAAUACUAGAGUAUCGUAGAGGGAGGUAGAAUUCUAGGUGUAGCGGUGAAAUGCGUAGAUAUCUGGAGGAAUACCUGUGGCGAAAGCGGCCUCCUAAACGAAUACUGACACUGAGGGUGCGAAAGCGUGGGGAGCAAACAGGGAUUUAGAUACCCG
Molecule: ribosomal RNA, 461 nt
Filed under: uncultured bacterium
Lineage: Bacteria
Description: bacterial SSU rRNA
Rfam family: Bacterial small subunit ribosomal RNA
Source: RNAcentral